AAUCAACGCUGGCGGCGUGCCUCAGACAUGCAAGUCGAACGAUUAAACUUUCCUUCGGGAAAGAUAUAAAGUGGCGCACGGGUGAGUAACACGUAAGUAAUCUACCUUCGAGUGGGGAAUAACGUUCGGAACGAACGCUAAUACCGCAUAAUGCAGCGGCACCUAAUGGUGACAGUUGUUAAAGGAGCAAUUCGCUUGAAGAGGAGCUUGCGGCAGAUUAGCUAGUUGGUAAGGAACGGCUUACCAAGGCUACGAUCUGUAACCGGUCUAAGAGGACGGUCGGGUCACACUGACACUGAAUAACGGGUCAGACUCCUACGGGA
This 323-nucleotide ribosomal RNA is filed under the name uncultured bacterium. Its description in RNAcentral is "bacterial SSU rRNA". It matches the Rfam family "Bacterial small subunit ribosomal RNA", at positions 32 to 346 of the family's 1533-position model. The record is from RNAcentral.